This 497-nucleotide ribosomal RNA is filed under the name uncultured bacterium. RNAcentral describes it as "partial 16S ribosomal RNA". It matches the Rfam family "Bacterial small subunit ribosomal RNA", at positions 28 to 507 of the family's 1533-position model. The record is from RNAcentral.
GAUGAACGCUGGCGGCGUGCCUAAUACAUGCAAGUCGAGCGAACGGACGAGAAGCUUGCUUCUCUGAUGUUAGCGGCGGACGGGUGAGUAACACGUGGAUAACCUACCUAUAAGACUGGGAUAACUUCGGGAAACCGGAUCUAAUACCGGAUGAUAUUUUGAACCGCAUGGUUCAAAAGUGAAAGACGGUCUUGCUGUCACUUAUAGAUGGAUCCGCGCUGCAUUAGCUAGUUGGUAAGGUAACGGCUUACCAAGGCAACGAUGCAUAGCCGACCUGAGAGGGUGAUCGGCCACACUGGAACUGAGACACGGUCCAGACUCCUACGGGAGGCAGCAGUAGGGAAUCUUCCGCAAUGGGCGAAAGCCUGACGGAGCAACGCCGCAUGAGUGAUGAAGGUCUUCGGAUCGUAAAACUCUGUUAUUAGGGAAGAACAUAUGUGUAAGUAACUGUGCACAUCUUGACGGUACCUAAUCAGAAAGCCACGGCUAACUACGUG